ACGAACGCUGGCGGCAUGCCUAAUACAUGCAAGUCGAACGAGACCUUCGGGUCUAGUGGCGCACGGGUGCGUAACGCGUGGGAACCUGCCCUUAGGUUCGGAAUAACUCCCCGAAAGGGGUGCUAAUACCGGAUAAUGUCUUCGGACCAAAGAUUUAUCGCCUUUGGAUGGGCCCGCGUUGGAUUAGCUAGUUGGUAGGGUAAAAGCCUACCAAGGCGACGAUCCAUAGCUGGUCUGAGAGGAUGAUCAGCCACACUGGGACUGAGACACGGCCCAGACUCCUACGGGAGGCAGCAGUGGGGAAUAUUGGACAAUGGGCGAAAGCCUGAUCCAGCAAUGCCGCGUGAGUGAUGAAGGCCUUAGGGUUGUAAAGCUCUUUUACCCGGGAUGAUAAUGACAGUACCGGGAGAAUAAGCUCCGGCUAACUCCGUG
Molecule: ribosomal RNA, 432 nt
Filed under: uncultured bacterium
Lineage: Bacteria
Description: partial 16S ribosomal RNA
Rfam family: Bacterial small subunit ribosomal RNA
Source: RNAcentral